Molecule: non-coding RNA, 144 nt
Organism: Gossypium hirsutum (cotton)
Lineage: Eukaryota; Viridiplantae; Streptophyta; Magnoliopsida; Malvales; Malvaceae
Source: Rfam
AAUUAAAAAUUUCAUCAUUUAUAUUAUUAAAAGUUAAUGUGCAUGACAGAAUAACUAAACAGUGAUAUAUGGCAUGCAUUGUGUACUUCAUGCUGACGUACUGGAACUAAUUUUUAAUAGUAGAAAUAGAUGAAUUUUUUAACA